RNAcentral lists this ribosomal RNA (450 nucleotides) under uncultured bacterium. RNAcentral's name for it is "partial 16S ribosomal RNA". It matches the Rfam family "Bacterial small subunit ribosomal RNA", at positions 354 to 796 of the family's 1533-position model. The record is from RNAcentral.
GUGGGGAAUUUUGGACAAUGGGGGCAACCCUGAUCCAGCAAUGCCGCGUGCAGGAAGAAGGCCUUCGGGUUGUAAACUGCUUUUGUACGGAACGAAACGGUCUGGGUUAAUACCCUGGGCUAAUGACGGUACCGUAAGAAUAAGCACCGGCUAACUACGUGCCAGCAGCCGCGGUAAUACGUAGGGUGCGAGCGUUAAUCGGAAUUACUGGGCGUAAAGCGUGCGCAGGCGGUUUUGUAAGAUAGGCGUGAAAUCCCCGGGCUCAACCUGGGAAUGGCGCUUGUGACUGCAAAGCUGGAGUGCGGCAGAGGGGGAUGGAAUUCCGCGUGUAGCAGUGAAAUGCGUAGAUAUGCGGAGGAACACCGAUGGCGAAGGCAAUCCCCUGGGCCUGCACUGACGCUCAUGCACGAAAGCGUGGGGAGCAAACAGGAUUAGAAACCCUGGUAGUCC